CCUCCUCCUACGAACUUCCUCAGUCCCUCCUCCUCCUACGAACUUCGUUUCUUCAUGAUUUCCUCUCUCCUUCCUGCAGUUAUGCUCUCAACCUCUCACCAUAUGUACUAGAUUCGCAGCAACCUGAAGAUUCAUGAUAUCUGGUCGAGGAUUGGAUUCUCUAGCAAGAUGUAGAUGGUAGGCUCAGUAUGUUGUUGAAAUGGCUGCGAAUACUCAGUUGGUUUUCCUGGAAAAAUAUUCAUUCAAUUGAGAAACAAACACUGUGUUCUUCUUCAAUGGGAAGGUGGAAAAUCGGACUCCAUAUCUCUUCAAGGAGAUACAGACUUGGAUCAUGAAGAGGUUUCAUGCCAAUCCAAG
Spinacia oleracea (spinach) is the source of this 357-nucleotide long non-coding RNA. RefSeq lists it as uncharacterized. Lineage: Eukaryota; Viridiplantae; Streptophyta; Magnoliopsida; Caryophyllales; Amaranthaceae. The transcript has 3 exons. The record is from RefSeq and is a predicted model, not a curated record.